Molecule: ribosomal RNA, 484 nt
Filed under: uncultured bacterium
Lineage: Bacteria
Description: partial 16S ribosomal RNA
Rfam family: Bacterial small subunit ribosomal RNA
Source: RNAcentral
AUUGAACGCUGGCGGAAUGCUUUACACAUGCAAGUCGAGCGGCAGCACGGGGGCAACCCUGGUGGCGAGCGGCGAACGGGUGAGUAAUACAUCGGAACAUGCCCAGUCGUGGGGGAUAACACUUCGAAAGAAGUGCUAAUACCGCAUACGUCCUGAGGGGGAAAGCGGGGGAUCGCAAGACCUCGCGCGAUUGGAGUGGCCGAUGUCAGAUUAGCUAGUUGGUGGGGUAAAGGCCUACCAAGGCAACGAUCUGUAGCUGGUCUGAGAGGAUGAUCAGCCACAGUGGGACGGAGACCCGCCCAGGCCCCCUGGGGGGGGCGGCGGUGGGGAUUUUGGAAAAAGGGGGGAAGCCCGGACCCACCCUUCCCGGGGGGGGAAAGAGGGCCUUCGGUUGUUAAACCUCUGCGGGCGGAAAGAAACGGGUGAGUCCAAAAAUAGUUUGCAAAUAAGGGUACCGAAAAAAAAAGCCCCGCCUACCUACGUC